UUAUCUGGUAAUGAUGUUUUCACUUCAUCAAAAUUUUAAACAUUAACAACUAGGCUGAUAACAAUAAUUGAAAUGUAAAUCAGAAUAAAUUAAAUUCAUUUGAAGUAAAAUAAGUUCCAUUAUACUCUAUUUUGACCAAAUGAUCAACACUUGUACAUAGUGCCAUUUACUUUGUGUUCUUCACUCUCGCGCUGUGUUGUGAUCGUUCGAAACUCAUUGCCAGAACGAAUGCAAAUUUCAUUUGGGAAGGAUUGGUGCUGGAAGAUGCAGCGAAAAUCAUUAAAUGUUAAUAGAAAAGUGGUUAAGUUAAUCGUGAAAGAUGUCAACGCAGGCGUAACUGCAGUUUGUUUUGUUACAUGAUCUACGGCUACUUCAUUGCCAAAGCUCCUGAUAACAGAUCAAAGCAGAUGGAUCGGGCAUACAGAGUCGCCAUUUAACAUUAAAUAUCUUCUUGAUCGGAAUACGCAUCAAGUGUUUUUCUUCCAACAGCACGCGCCAUCGAUGGAGCAAGCAGCCAACGUUUACACGUUCCAGCCAAAACCAAAACAAACCGUGCCGCAUCUGUCGUGUGUUUUCGAAGACGACAAUUGUGAAAUUGAAAUGGACAGUGUACCAAAAACGGCUUGACUUGUUUGUAAGUGGUAGACAAUCGUGUUUUACAAAUUGAAGAUUGCUAGUAGACUGUGGACAGUUGUUAAUUGGAAUGGAAAACCCUGUAUGCUGUCGAGUUGAGCUUUUGAAUAUUAAGGUCGAUACAUAACUCCUCAAA
Molecule: long non-coding RNA, 769 nt
Organism: Anopheles arabiensis
Lineage: Eukaryota; Metazoa; Arthropoda; Insecta; Diptera; Culicidae
Exons: 3
Source: RefSeq, a predicted model, not a curated record